This 497-nucleotide ribosomal RNA is filed under the name uncultured bacterium. RNAcentral describes it as "partial 16S ribosomal RNA". It matches the Rfam family "Bacterial small subunit ribosomal RNA", at positions 28 to 507 of the family's 1533-position model. The record is from RNAcentral.
GAUGAACGCUGGCGGCGUGCCUAAUACAUGCAAGUCGAGCGAACAGACGAGGAGCUUGCUCCCCUGACGUUAGCGGCGGACGGGUGAGUAACACGUGGAUAACCUACCUAUAAGACUGGGAUAAAUUCGGGAAACCGGAGAUAAUACCGGAUAAUAUAUUGAACCGCAUGGUUCAAUAGUGAAAGACGGUUUUGAUGUGACUAAUAGAUGGAUAUCCGCCGCAUUAGCUAGUUGGUAAGGUAACGGCUUAUCAAGGCAACGACGCGUAUCCGACCUCAGAGAGUGAUCGCCCACACUGGAACUGAGACACGGUCCAUACUCCUACGAGAGGCAGCAGUAGGGAAUCUUCCGCAAUGGGCGAAAGUUUGACCGAUCAACGCCGCGUCAGUGAAGAUGGUCCUCGGUUCGUAAUCCUCUGUUAUUAGGGAUGAACUAAUGUAUAAGUAACUAUGCACGGCUUGACGGUACCUAAUCAUAAAGCCACGGCUAACUACGUG